Non-coding RNA from Triticum aestivum (bread wheat), 115 nucleotides. The record is from Rfam. NCBI's taxonomy places the organism in Eukaryota, Viridiplantae, Streptophyta, Magnoliopsida, Poales, Poaceae.
CAUGUACUUCCUCUGUUCGGAAUUACUUGUCGUAGAAAUGGAUGUAUCUAGAUGUAUUUUAGUUCUAGAUACAUCCAUUUUCGAGACAAGUGAUUCGGAACAGAGGGAGUACGAC